Molecule: ribosomal RNA, 674 nt
Filed under: Mycobacterium tuberculosis
Lineage: Bacteria; Bacillati; Actinomycetota; Actinomycetes; Mycobacteriales; Mycobacteriaceae
Description: bacterial SSU rRNA
Rfam family: Bacterial small subunit ribosomal RNA
Source: RNAcentral
CUGCACUUCGGGAUAAGCCUGGGAAACUGGGUCUAAUACCGGAUAGGACCACGGGAUGCAUGUCUUGUGGUGGAAAGCGCUUUAGCGGUGUGGGAUGAGCCCGCGGCCUAUCAGCUUGUUGGUGGGGUGACGGCCUACCAAGGCGACGACGGGUAGCCGGCCUGAGAGGGUGUCCGGCCACACUGGGACUGAGAUACGGCCCAGACUCCUACGGGAGGCAGCAGUGGGGAAUAUUGCACAAUGGGCGCAAGCCUGAUGCAGCGACGCCGCGUGGGGGAUGACGGCCUUCGGGUUGUAAACCUCUUUCACCAUCGACGAAGGUCCGGGUUCUCUCGGAUUGACGGUAGGUGGAGAAGAAGCACCGGCCAACUACGUGCCAGCAGCCGCGGUAAUACGUAGGGUGCGAGCGUUGUCCGGAAUUACUGGGCGUAAAGAGCUCGUAGGUGGUUUGUCGCGUUGUUCGUGAAAUCUCACGGCUUAACUGUGAGCGUGCGGGCGAUACGGGCAGACUAGAGUACUGCAGGGGAGACUGGAAUUCCUGGUGUAGCGGUGGAAUGCGCAGAUAUCAGGAGGAMCACCGGUGGCGAAGGCGGGUCUCUGGGCAGUAACUGACGCUGAGGAGCGAAAGCGUGGGGAGCGAACAGGAUUAGAUACCCUGGUAGUCCACGCCGUAA